This 253-nucleotide ribosomal RNA is filed under the name uncultured bacterium. RNAcentral's name for it is "partial 16S ribosomal RNA". It matches the Rfam family "Bacterial small subunit ribosomal RNA", at positions 524 to 776 of the family's 1533-position model. The record is from RNAcentral.
UACGUAGGGUCCGAGCGUUGUCCGGAAUUAUUGGGCGUAAAGGGCUCGUAGGCGGUCUGUUGCGUCGGGAGUGAAAACUUACAGCUUAACUGUGAGCGUGCUUCCGAUACGGGCAGACUUGAGGCAUUCAGGGGAGAACGGAAUUCCCGGUGUAGUGGUGGAAUGCGUAGAUAUCAGGAGGAAUACCGGUGGCGAAAGCGACUCUCUGGACGGCAACUGACGCUGAGGCACGAAAGCGUGGGGAGCGAACGGG